CAGUUCGGAUUGUAGUCUGCAACUCGACUACAUGAAGCUGGAAUCGCUAGUAAUCGCGAAUCAGAAUGUCGCGGUGAAUACGUUCCCGGGUCUUGUACACACCGCCCGUCACACCAUGGGAGUCAGUAACGCCCGAAGCCGGUGACCUAACCGAAAGGGAGGAGCCGUCGAAGGUGGGACCGAUAACUGGGGUGAAGUCGUAACAAGGUAAC
Molecule: ribosomal RNA, 212 nt
Filed under: uncultured bacterium
Lineage: Bacteria
Description: partial 16S ribosomal RNA
Rfam family: Bacterial small subunit ribosomal RNA
Source: RNAcentral